RNAcentral lists this microRNA (22 nucleotides) under Shrimp white spot syndrome virus. RNAcentral's name for it is "wssv-mir206". The record is from RNAcentral. Lineage: Naldaviricetes; Nimaviridae.
CUGCACCCCCUCGGAACCCACA